UCUUUGGUUAUCUAGCUGUAUGAGUGUCAGAAUCCCGCCAUAAAGCUACUUAACCAAAAGCA
Molecule: microRNA precursor, 62 nt
Filed under: Petromyzon marinus (sea lamprey)
Lineage: Eukaryota; Metazoa; Chordata; Hyperoartia; Petromyzontiformes; Petromyzontidae
Description: Pma-Mir-9-o1_pre stem-loop
Rfam family: mir-9/mir-79 microRNA precursor family
About the family: The mature ~21nt miRNAs are processed from hairpin precursor sequences represented here. miR-9 is processed from the 5' arm of its precursor, and miR-79 from the 3' arm.
Source: RNAcentral